RNAcentral lists this ribosomal RNA (460 nucleotides) under uncultured bacterium. RNAcentral's name for it is "partial 16S ribosomal RNA". It matches the Rfam family "Bacterial small subunit ribosomal RNA", at positions 338 to 795 of the family's 1533-position model. The record is from RNAcentral.
CCUACGGGAGGCAGCAGUGAGGAAUAUUGGUCAAUGGACGAGAGUCUGAACCAGCCAAGUAGCGUGAAGGAUGACUGCCCUAUGGGUUGUAAACUUCUUUUAUAUGGGAAUAAAAUGUUCCACGUGUGGGAUUUUGUAUGUACCAUAUGAAUAAGGAUCGGCUAACUCCGUGCCAGCAGCCGCGGUAAUACGGAGGAUCCGAGCGUUAUCCGGAUUUAUUGGGUUUAAAGGGAGCGUAGGUGGAUUGUUAAGUCUGUUGUGAAAGUUUGCGGCUCAACCGUAAAAUUGCAGUUGAAACUGGCAGUCUUGAGUACAGUAGAGGUGGGCGGAAUUCGUGGUGUAGCGGUGAAAUGCUUAGAUAUCACGAAGAACUCCGAUUGCGAAGGCAGUUCACUGGACUGCAACUGACACUGAGGCUCGAAAGUGUGGGUAUCAAACAGGAUUAGAUACCCGAGUAGUC